This 254-nucleotide ribosomal RNA is filed under the name uncultured bacterium. RNAcentral describes it as "partial 16S ribosomal RNA". It matches the Rfam family "Bacterial small subunit ribosomal RNA", at positions 524 to 776 of the family's 1533-position model. The record is from RNAcentral.
UACGUAGGGGGCAAGCGUUGUCCGGAUUUAUUGGGCGUAAAGAGCGUGUAGGCGGUUAGGUAGGUCCGUUGUGAAAACUCGAGGCUCAACCUCGAGACGCCGAUGGAAACCAUCUGACUAGAGUCCGGAAGAGGAGAGUGGAAUUCCUGGUGUAGCGGUGAAAUGCGCAGAUAUCAGGAAGAACACCAACGGCGAAGGCAGCUCGCUAGGACGGUACUGACGCUGAGACGCGAAAGCGUGGGGAGGCGAACAGG